Molecule: ribosomal RNA, 876 nt
Filed under: uncultured bacterium
Lineage: Bacteria
Description: bacterial SSU rRNA
Rfam family: Bacterial small subunit ribosomal RNA
Source: RNAcentral
AGAACGAACGCUGGCGGCGUGCUUAACACAUGCAAGUCGUACGAGAAACCGGAACUUCGGUUCCGGGAGUAAAGUGGCGCACGGGUGAGUAACGCGUAGGUAAUCUACCCUUGGGUUUGGAAUAACCCGCCGAAAGGCGUGCUAAUACCGGAUAAAAUCUUUCGGAGGGAUCUGAAAGAUCAAAGGUGGCCUCUCCAUGGAUGCUACCGCCUGAGGAUGAGCCUGCGUCCCAUUAGCUUGUUGGUAGGGUAAUGGCCUACCAAGGCUACGAUGGGUAGCUGGUCUGAGAGGAUGAUCAGUCACACUGGAACUGGAACACGGUCCAGACUCCUACGGGAGGCAGCAGUGAGGAAUAUUGCGCAAUGGGGGAAACCCUGACGCAGCGACGCCGCGUGGGCGAAGAAGGCCUUUGGGUCGUAAAGCCCUGUCUAGAGGGAAGAAAUUCUCAAUGGAAUAAUACCCAUUGAGAUUGACGGUACCUCUGGAGGAAGCACCGGCUAACUCCGUGCCAGCAGCCGCGGUAAUACGGAGGGUGCGAGCGUUGUUCGGAAUUACUGGGCGUAAAGCGGGUGUAGGCGGUUUGUUAAGUCAGAUGUGAAAGCCCACGGCUCAACCGUGGAAGUGCAUCUGAAACUGGCAGACUUGAGUACCGGAGAGGGAAGUGGAAUUCCUGGUGUAGGGGUGAAAUCCGUAGAUAUCAGGAGGAACACCGGUGGCGAAGGCGACUUCCUGGACGGAUACUGACGCUGAGAUCCGAAAGCGUGGGGAGCAAACAGGAUUAGAUACCCUGGUAGUCCACGCCCUAAACGAUGGGCACUAGGUGCAGGGGGUGUUGACCCCUCCUGUGCCGCAGCUAACGCAUUAAGUGCCCCGCCU